Molecule: long non-coding RNA, 4682 nt
Organism: Tympanuchus pallidicinctus (lesser prairie-chicken)
Lineage: Eukaryota; Metazoa; Chordata; Aves; Galliformes; Phasianidae
Exons: 3
Source: RefSeq, a predicted model, not a curated record
AUAGAAAGAGAGCACAUCGUGCAAGGUAGCACACCUCCCUACCAGGACAUCCUGGCUGGCUGCUGGUUGUCUCUGUUCUCUGCAAACCCCUUAGCCUCAAAUUCUUGCUUCCACAGGCCUAACUUGCUUGGAGGACUGACUGGUCAAACUGAAGAAAUCUAAUUUGUGUUUACAUUUUUCCACUGAUUCACAUGCAGUAUUUUGGUAAACUUGAAGAGACCAAAUACCAAACCUUGCUGCAACAGUGACUGGAACUUAUCGGGGCCGAACUCUGAAAGAAUAUGAAAUUAUGAAGAUUGCUAUGACAGAAGAUACCACCAAUUCACGCUGAAGUGAAGAAGUGGAGUACUCUACAUAUGCCAUAAGUUCAGUCACCCAGCUGUGAUCUUCCCUGUACCUGAGCAAUGUCUCAACAAAAUCCCAUGUGUGCGUCUGUGUAUGUAAAUGUAUAUAUAUGGACAGAUUUGUACCAACUCUGCAUUGUUACACUUGACUUACUCUUUUUUUUAAUUAUGUAAAAAAAUCACAUUAAGCUGAAUCUAAUUACUGCAAUGUAUAUUAGAAGCAGGGCACCAUCAAAAUUUUAUUUAAAUUAAUCAGGUUUUGAUUUAAGAUAUUAAAUUCAAAUUAAUCAUGUAAAAAUGGAAAUGAUCCUUGACGUGCUUCCAGCUGUGACUUCAGUCUGUUUUCUCGUGUGAGUCACUUUCGGGAUGUCUUGGGGGGAACAUUACGAAAAUUCACGCCGGUGCUAUUUCAAUUAGAGUUAUUUAGCAGGACAGAUGUAAAGAAUACGGUAUAAUUAAGAAGGAGCUGAUGACACGGCUACAGAUUUUCAGGAUCAAAAAAAACCUGUUAGUGAAAAUUGACUACUGGUCAUGUAGUCCAAGUUCAAAUAUGCUGGGGUUAAGCACUCAUUAAUGAUGGAAUAAGGUCUUUAGAUAGACCAUUGGACUCUUUCUCCGGAGCAAUAUGCAGAAUUCUUCCCUGGAAAUAACUUUGAAGCUUCAUUAGCAAGCAGAUGAUACCUGAUAACAUAAUUUUAAAAUUCUUAAAAUAAUUUUCCACCCCCUAGUGUCUAAUCUUUAUCUGGCUAGCUAACUUCAAAGGCCUUUAGGAAAACAUGUAAGAGACAUAUAAAUGACCAGGUAAGAGCACAUAUACACAGAGAAAUGUAUAUGUGUAUACUCAAAGCAUUGUUAAACUCAUGAUGAAUAUGAGCUGCCAGGAAUACUGCUAUUUUUUCUACUGCUCUUUAGCAGAAUGAGAGACUGUACUAGUUGCACAUUUCCUGACUGAAAUCAACAAAGAGAAUGGGGGCUUUCCCAUGCAGAGGCCUGACUUUGUGUUUAUUUAUAACUCUUUAAAUGAUCAGUAUUUCCAUUGUGAAAAGUGAACUGCUCAUUGUUUCUUUACUCAAGUAUAGAGUGAUGCAAAUGCAAAUGUGCCGCAAUACUAUGCAGCGUGAACCUUGGAAGUUAUUUUUUCAAAUUAUUUUACCUCAAAUCUAUUCUCCCAUGUAAAAGUCGACAUGGAAAAAGAUCAGAGGGACUAUAAUCCUUUCCUUCUCAUACUCAUAGUUGUCCUGAAAAUAUGCAUCUUUAAACAUGCUUCUUAUAGUUGCUAUCCAGGGCUCUCAGUAUCUGCAUCCCUCCUACUGAGUAAUAGCAAAAGCCAAGUUAAAUUUAAAAAAUGCACAGUACAUACUGUACACUCAUAAUUAUAGAUUAAAUAUUGAUCUCCAUGGUGUUUUUUCCAUUUCACUGGCAAUCUUUCUCUUUCCAAAGCAAUGUCCUGUUGUCACUUCACUCUGAAAAGCAUUACCAAGUGAAAAUAUUUUCUGCAACUAAAACCAUUGCUUUUGGCUAAAAUUUAAACAAAUCAAACUAUAGCAGGUGACAAUAAAAUAAUUUAAAUGUCUAGUUCUGUAUAUCUGGUAACAUUUUUCAGAAGCCAAUCUUAGAAUUUGUAGUCACAUUAUUUGCUUGUUCAAGGAGCAGCACACAGCAGUAGCUAAAGGAGAAGCAGUGCACCAGACCAAGUGUUCCUGGCUAUCCAUAAUAGAUGAAAAUUAAAUAGCAUAUUACACUUGCCAUGGCAUACCUAUUAUGUAGAUUUCUAGGCAGGAAAUUGUCUGCAAAACAGAUACAUAGUAGGCAUAAACUUUUUGUUAUUAGGGUAGUUGAUCAUGGUGUUAUUACAGUUGUAGGAAUAUAAUGAUUCAUUGAGGAUUUCUGCUUCCCACUCAGAAGAUAUAAACCAACAUAAUGAUUGUUCUUUAAUAGUAUUUAAAGAUAUUUUAAAAACAAAUUGCGCAGGAGUUUUGCAUAAUAAUGGUUUCAGUUUUCCAGGAAAUGCUUUUUUGGGAAGUGCAUAACUGUUUAAAUAUUAAAAAUGGCUCCUCAUAAUAAACUUGAAUGUAGUAAGCAACCUAUGAGAAAGGAUAUGAUAAAAAAUAUGCUCAAUUUUGUCCUUUUAAAAUUUAUUUUUUCUUUAGACAUAACAGCUGGAAAGAACAAUUAUUUUUUUUCAUGAACUAGGUUGUUGUCUGGAUAACUGAGAUGCAUUUUCCCAUGAGAGAUACACAGGUUCAUUUCCCAUCUGGGUAUCUUUCCCCUCCUGUUUCCUUUCUCCCUCCAACUCCCCUCUUGCAGGACUAGAACAUAUUGAUAAUGAACCAUUGGUUUCCAUUUCACACCCAAGAGAUUGUACGAAACACAAAGCUGCUCUGUGUGAAGCAUAGAUUAGCCCAAAGAUGUUUGUUCACAUUUUUCUCAAUCUUUCAUCCAUGCCUGUAUGGGUGGAUUCCCCUAAUAGCAGGGACUCAUUUGUAGGUUGAGGACACAAGUAGUUUAGAUUGGAUUCUUUGAUCAAGUUAGAAGUGAAGUUGAUGAUCCCAGGAUGGAAACCUCAGAUGCCUUUAGAGAUCCUAUGGGGAGGACAGUUGGACAGGGUUGAGUCUCACUCCUUACCAAGCAAAACUGGCCUUAACAAUGGUGGUUGGCCAUGGUCUUAACAUCUGUUUAUGAGAGGGCAAAGCUAAGUUCUCCUGAUUUCUGGUGUUUUCUUUAAUUUUAAAUCACUAUGAAAAUACAUAUUUUUAAUAAAUUUUUAGUUAAUUCAUUUUCUUUAGCCAAAAUGUAUAAACCUCUGUCUGUCGCUCAUUGAUUUACAACAUGUCUGACAAAACAUAAGUCUUAAGGUAUCAUGGGUCUCUAGAAUUGAGCCUGGUUAGUAUACCAGAAAAUUAUAUAUGAAAGAUGCGACUUUUGCAACUGGAACCUUCAUUCCAAGGAUAUGUUGAGGUCUUUCUCUCCAGGGGCAAUUGACAGAUGCACCUGGGCCGACUCAAUGAGUAAAGCUUGUACUUGGGGAGAAUUGUCCUGAGAGAAGGAGGAUCUGCAAAGGCGAAACCUUAAUUUUUACCAGUUUUAAUGAGUCAUUUUGGAGGCAUUUUGUGUCUCUGUCUACUAGUAGCACUCUAGCUAAGGCUGUAGUGGCUUUUCAUCCCUGGAUAACUGAGUUUGUUCUCCUCUGUUUGCACAGCACAGUCAGCAUUGGCCCUCAUAAUAUAUGCUUUUAUUCCUUCUAAGACCAGCAAGAAAAGAUACAUAAUAUCUUAUAGACAGACAUGCUAAUUUUGAAAGUGAUUUUCCCAGCAGCAGAACAUGCCCCAUGUUUUCCAUCUAGAAGUCAAAUGUUUAUGAUUAACUUUAGAAAACUCUUUUUUAGGAUACUGAGGCAUGAAUAUGCCUGUAGAAACGCCUCUUUCAGUGGCCUUGCAAAGUUCCCUCUGUGAAAUGGUUAAAGAAAUUUUCAGAGGAGAGGUCCUCACUUACCAGCUGUGAACACACAGCGUGCAAUGCCAGUGGAAGAGUCUGGGCAAGUCAGUGAAAAGAAAGCUAAUUACACUGAAAGAAAUCUCCACAUUCAGCAUACAUUAGCCAACCCAACAAAUCACUGACACAGUACAGAACCUGAAACCACCCAAAAUACUAAGCUUGACUGUUAAUUAAAAACCAGGUCCCUAAUUCCAGGCCACUCUGCUCUAAGAAGCAAUAAACACUGACAAACAGCAGAAGUCAAUGCUGCAAGCCUUUCCACUGAGGAUAGUUAAACAGGCAGUGAAGCCAAUUUUCCAGGUUUCAUCAGGAACCAUGCCAUCUUUUGUGUUGUUAUUAACACCUGUAGAAUUAAAAGGAAAAAAAAAACAAAAAACAAAAAACAACAAAAAAACAACAAAAAAACAAAAAACAACCCACAAUCUCUUCUAUUUUAUUUUAAUGAUAUGAACAUUUCUACCUAUCCUGUUUGCAAAGAACAGUUUGGACAAUGAACACUGUAAGGUUGAGAAAAUUCAGUUUUUAAAAUAAACUAAUAUUUAAGAUGGGCUUUAAAGAUAUUGUUAUUUCUACACUCAUCUCACAUUCUUUUGGGACCUGAUUCUGAACUUUUGAGUUUUGCAGUCUGUCAAUAUUAGAUUCUGGUUCACAUAUAUGUUCACAUCCUAACCUGGUGGAGUGGGUGAGGUACUGGAAAAACUUGAAAUUGUAUAUAGAUUGUAUAUGGAAUCUGUCUCUUGAUUAACACACUCAAAGUAGAAUAGAAUGGCACAGGAUUUUGUUUUGGUAUCAAGAUAUUUUAGAGUUGGAUACGAUAGUAUCCUAUUCAAUCUAACAUUAGUA